AUCCUGGCGUCAGGGAUGAACGGCUGGCGGCGUGCUUAACACAUGCAAGUCGAACGGGACGUCAUAUUGAAACCUAGUGAUUAUUGAGUUAGUGGCGGACGGGUGAGUAACGACGUGGAAAACCUAGCCGUAUACUGGGGAGUAACACUUAGAAAUAGGUGCUAAUACCGCAUAAGCGCACAGCUUCGCAUGAAGUGGUGUGAAAACUACUGGUGGUAUACGAUGGUUCCGCGUCUGAUUAGCUUGUUGGUGGGGUAAGUGGCUCACCAAGGCGACGAUCAGUAGCCGGCCUGAGAGGGUGAACGGCCACAUUGGGACUGAGACACGGCCCAAACUCCUACGGGAGGCAGCAGUGGGGAAGUAUUGCACAAUGGGGGAAACCCGUGAUGCAGCGACGCCGCGUGAGUGAAGAAGUAUUUCGGUAUGUAAGCUCUAUCAGCAGGGAAGAAAUAGCGACCUUUGGGUCGCCAGACGGUACCUGAUUAAGAAGCCCCGGCUAACUACGUG
Molecule: ribosomal RNA, 507 nt
Filed under: uncultured Lachnospiraceae bacterium
Lineage: Bacteria; Bacillati; Bacillota; Clostridia; Lachnospirales; Lachnospiraceae
Description: bacterial SSU rRNA
Rfam family: Bacterial small subunit ribosomal RNA
Source: RNAcentral